This 495-nucleotide ribosomal RNA is filed under the name uncultured bacterium. Its description in RNAcentral is "partial 16S ribosomal RNA". It matches the Rfam family "Bacterial small subunit ribosomal RNA", at positions 29 to 506 of the family's 1533-position model. The record is from RNAcentral.
AUGAACGCUGGCGGCGUGCCUAAUACAUGCAAGUCGAGCGAACAGACGAGGAGCUUGCUCCUUCGACGUUAGCGGCGGACGGGUGAGUAACACGUAGGUAACCUACCUAUAAGACUGGGAUAACUUCGGGAAACCGGAGCUAAUACCGGAUAAUAUUUCGAACCGCAUGGUUCGAUAGUGAAAGAUGGCUUUGCUAUCACUUAUAGAUGGACCUGCGCCGUAUUAGCUAGUUGGUAAGGUAACGGCUUACCAAGGCAACGAUACGUAGCCGACCUGAGAGGGUGAUCGGCCACACUGGAACUGAGACACGGUCCAGACUCCUACGGGAGGCAGCAGUAGGGAAUCUUCCGCAAUGGGCGAAAGCCUGACGGAGCAACGCCGCGUGAGUGAUGAAGGUCUUCGGAUCGUAAAACUCUGUUAUUAGGGAAGAACAAACGUGUAAGUAACUGUGCACGUCUUGACGGUACCUAAUUAGAAAGCCACGGCUAACUACGU